RNAcentral lists this ribosomal RNA (450 nucleotides) under uncultured bacterium. Its description in RNAcentral is "bacterial SSU rRNA". It matches the Rfam family "Bacterial small subunit ribosomal RNA", at positions 28 to 507 of the family's 1533-position model. The record is from RNAcentral.
GACGAACGCUGGCGGCGUGCUUAACACAUGCAAGUUGGACGGUGCGACAUGGAAGCUUGCUGAAGUGUCGUACAGUAGCGAACGGGUGAGUAAUGCAUGAGAAUCUGCCCUUUGGAGGGGGACAACAGCUGGAAACGGCUGCUAAUACCCCGUAAGCCGGGAGGUGAAAGGUACGCGAGUACUGCCGGGGGAUGAGCUCAUGUCCUAUCAGCUGGUUGGCGGGGUAACGGCCCACCAAGGCGACGACGGGUAGCCGGCCUGAGAGGGUGACCGGCCACACUGGAACUGAGACACGGUCCAGACUCCUACGGGAGGCAGCAGUGGGGAAUUUUGGGCAAUGGGGGAGACCCUGACCCAGCGACGCCGCGUGAGGGAAGACGGCCUGGUUGUAACUCUUUGUACGGUAAGAUAAUGACGGUACUGUACGAAUAAGUACCGGCUAACUACGUG